AUUCAGCUGACGAGUCCUAAAUAGAAUGAAAUGCACAUCAUGAGU
This is a non-coding RNA of Schistosoma margrebowiei, 45 nucleotides long. The record is from Rfam. NCBI's taxonomy places the organism in Eukaryota, Metazoa, Platyhelminthes, Trematoda, Strigeidida, Schistosomatidae.